This 509-nucleotide ribosomal RNA is filed under the name Bacillus sp. (in: firmicutes). RNAcentral describes it as "bacterial SSU rRNA". It matches the Rfam family "Bacterial small subunit ribosomal RNA", at positions 389 to 890 of the family's 1533-position model. The record is from RNAcentral. Lineage: Bacteria; Bacillati; Bacillota; Bacilli; Caryophanales; Bacillaceae.
GAGCACGCCGCGUGAGUGAUGAAGGCUUUCGGGUCGUAAAACUCUGUUGUUAGGGAAGAACAAGUACAAGAGUAACUGCUUGUACCUUGACGGUACCUAACCAGAAAGCCACGGCUAACUACGUGCCAGCAGCCGCGGUAAUACGUAGGUGGCAAGCGUUAUCCGGAAUUAUUGGGCGUAAAGCGCGCGCAGGCGGUUUCUUAAGUCUGAUGUGAAAGCCCACGGCUCAACCGUGGAGGGUCAUUGGAAACUGGGGAACUUGAGUGCAGAAGAGAAAAGCGGAAUUCCACGUGUAGCGGUGAAAUGCGUAGAGAUGUGGAGGAACACCAGUGGCGAAGGCGGCUUUUUGGUCUGUAACUGACGCUGAGGCGCGAAAGCGUGGGGAGCAAACAGGAUUAGAUACCCUGGUAGUCCACGCCGUAAACGAUGAGUGCUAAGUGUUAGAGGGUUUCCGCCCUUUAGUGCUGCAGCUAACGCAUUAAGCACUCCGCCUGGGGAGUACGGUCGCG